GAUGAAUCUUAGCAAACACCAUUCAGAAAGAUUUUUUUUUUUUCCCUCGACGUAGUACCUCUCGUUUGGAAGACCACAACCAUCUAUCCAUUAACGGUCUCCAACCCACCAAGAGCUCGCGCUUCCAGAAUAUUCGCAGGAAUGACUGCUCUUCAUCAUGGAAAUAUGAAUUGCAGCAUCUUAUGUAAAAGGGGAGUGGUUUCCUUUGUGGGUUUUGCGGCUCUUCCAUUUUCUCAGCCGAGGGCGAGUGCCUUUGAAGGUUUGGUGAGAGGAGGACUUAUUAGUCAAAGCUUAUAUAGAAAGGAGAGUCCUAUUUUUCUGGCAAAUGGAUCCAACCGCGUAUUGUCAAAGAAACUGAUCCUUACCAUCCCCAGAAGCAGCCCUUCUUCAAACUCCAGUGGUAGUGACAAUGACUCCUCUAAUCAGGCCAAGGUAUGUACAGGCAAGGACUAGUGAAUGAUUUUGUGUAUGGAGGAACCAAUAAGAUCUAUUUACUUGUAAUCAUAUAUUGGUCUUUAAAUGCUUGAUACUUGCUUUAUUUUGUUUCUAUUUGAUUCCAUGUUUAUUCAAAAAGGAGAUGAUACAUCAAGUUAUGCUAUGGGUUAAACCCAAUUGGUUAAGCUUAAAACAAAAUUCAGACUUUAACACAUUUUGACUCAAAAGCGAAUUUCAUUAAUGGGUGUGAUCCUUUCAGUUUGCUGAUAGUGUCUACCUAGUGGUACACCUUGGGUCCUAUGCUGUGUCCAUGGCUCUGGUUAAUGCUAGAGUUUCUUUGGAAUCCUUAAGUUAGAAUGAAGCAUAACUGAGAGCAGUAUUUUAUGAUCAUUUUGCCUGUUUGCUUCUUCUUGCUUGACAAAAUAUAUAUCUUGUUUCAAAAGUGAAUUUGGUUAACGAGUGGUCCUUUCGGUUUGCUGAUAAACAGUUGCUAAUGGUACACCUUUGGUCA
Carya illinoinensis is the source of this 946-nucleotide long non-coding RNA. RefSeq lists it as uncharacterized. NCBI's taxonomy places the organism in Eukaryota, Viridiplantae, Streptophyta, Magnoliopsida, Fagales, Juglandaceae. The transcript is spliced from 4 exons. The record is from RefSeq and is a predicted model, not a curated record.